This 253-nucleotide ribosomal RNA is filed under the name uncultured bacterium. RNAcentral's name for it is "partial 16S ribosomal RNA". It matches the Rfam family "Bacterial small subunit ribosomal RNA", at positions 524 to 776 of the family's 1533-position model. The record is from RNAcentral.
GACGGAGGAUGCAAGUGUUAUCCGGAAUCACUGGGCUUAAAGCGUACGCAGGCGGAUUGGUAGGUAUCUCGUGAAAUCCCACGGCUCAACCGUGGAACUGCGGGGUAAACCACCAAUCUUGAGGCAGGUAGGGGUCAACGGAACCAUGUGUGGACCGGUGAAAUGGAUAGAUAUACAUGGGAACGCCAAUGGCGAAGGCAGUUGACUGGGCCUGACCUGACGCUCAGGUACGAAAGCGUGGGGAGCGAACGGG